GGAGGUGCUUCGGGGCUGGUGCCUUGCGCGGCCUUCAAAGCCGUUGGGCCGGGGCUAACCCCCCGGCCGGUGGGUUCGAUUCCCAUGCGCCUCCGCCA
This 98-nucleotide transfer RNA is filed under the name Acidobacteriota bacterium. Its description in RNAcentral is "Acidobacteria bacterium (hot springs metagenome) tRNA-Sec". It matches the Rfam family "Selenocysteine transfer RNA". Lineage: Bacteria; Pseudomonadati; Acidobacteriota. The record is from RNAcentral.